Molecule: non-coding RNA, 3258 nt
Organism: Sus scrofa (pig)
Lineage: Eukaryota; Metazoa; Chordata; Mammalia; Artiodactyla; Suidae
Source: RefSeq, a predicted model, not a curated record
GCCAGGACGUCCCACUCCUGGGAGCCACUCCCUCCCAGGGACAGACUCGGGAAUUCGCCACCCGACCUUAAGGAAGGUCACCUCUCCCCCGCCCUCGGUGGAGUGAUGAGAGUGUCCUGCGCUCGGGGAGUUGGGGGUCACCUGCCUGGCAUCUCCCCACACCUCUGGCCUCUCUGUGCUGCCCGUCACUUAUUCGGUGCCGGCCUCAGUGCCCACAUCUGUGAAAUGGGAACUGUGACAUCAUACACCUUCAAAGAUUCUUUUUGGAGCAUCCUACGGCAAUGCUCCUGCAGGCAUCUGUAAAUCAUUCAUGCACGUAAAAUACUGCGUCAUUUCAAAAGGUAUUCUCUGUGAUGGAGAGGGAAAAAACAACCCCCUCUGGGAACUGUGAGUGUGAGCUCAGGACAGCUGUGAGCAGGGCAUGCAGCGAGCUCUGUGGCCCCAGAGCCGGGGCAGCAGCAUGAAGGGAGGCUGGACUGUGGGCGGAGACGGACCCAACCCCGCAGGACUCCGCCGCGGCCCGGAGCCAGGGCUGGUCCCUCGCCUCCCGCCUUCCCCUCCAAACGGUUUCCAGGAAAGGCACUGUUGCCAUGGGAACACAUGUCCAAUUAUUCUACUUGCAGAAAAUCACUCAUCAGCCAACUUGGCUGGAACAUAUUCUGUCUCCAGAGCAGAACUGCCUCUUGUUUUUCUACCUCAGCCAUGACCAGAUCUGUGAGCAAAGAAGCAGAGAAGCAGGCAGGACGGGGUGGGGGGGACACUCAGGCCACAGGAAGGAGGGUCUUUGGACCAGAAAAGGCAAGGGGCUGCGGGGAGAAGCAGGCCCCUUGGUAGAGCAUAGACGGGCUCCCGAGGCCUGCAGGUUGGUGGGCAACUGGAGCCUCCAGAAGGGGCUGAGGGACAGCAGGUGGGCCGGGGCUGAGGGCAUCAAUCCCCCUCCACCAGCAUUACCGAGUACCCGCCCUGAGCCAGGCUCUGCUGGACCCUGGGCAGGAAAGGAUGCUUUCAACACCCCUUUAUGCCUUCAGUGGGGAGAUCAGAGUCAGAGGGGGGUGGAGAAUGGCCAAGAGAUCGAUAACAAUAAAUGACCAGGACACAAUAGAAUAUGUUCCGAGUAGUCAGAAGUAGCCCAAGGAGGUGAGAGAGAAUGGAGGAGGGUAAAUUCAGAGGCUGGGUUUUGAUGUAUGAAUAGGAGUUUGUGAAACAGAUCCGGGAUGAGGCUGUAUGCUCUGGGCAGAGGAGACACGAUCAAGGAGCAGAGUCCUGGAGUAACAAAGAGCAUUCCAUUUUGUUUUGUUUUGUUUUGGCUGCACCCACAGCGUGUAGAAGUUCCCAGGCCAGGGAACAGCAGCAGCCACAGCAGUGACAACACUGAAUCCUUAACCUUCUGCGCCACAAGGGAAUUCCCAGCGAGCAUUCUGAGAGCCGGCUGCUGAGCGCUGCCCCAGUGGGGCGCUCAGUGGGGAGGAAGAUGGAUCGGGCUGGAUUGGACAUUGAAGCCACGUGCGCAAGGAGUGUGGCCUCCGGCCUGUGUGCAACAGGAAGAAGUCAGCCUGUUGGCGUUUGGCAGAGGCAGACAGGACAGAGAGAAGAAUGGAAGGACAGGACACCAGCAGGAGGCGGUAUAAAAGGAUAAAAGAGCAUUGGCAGACGACCUCCUGGCCCUGGGGGUGGAGCGGUCAUGUCUCCGGACCUGCUUCUUGGGUCCCAGAGGGUCCGAAGAAAUGACUCACCUCUACCACCUCCACCCACCAGUGCAUCUCAGCCGGACACGCAAUUCGCUCCCCCACGCAAAGCAGUAACGGGGGGGCGAGCUUUCCAAAGGUGCUGCCCCAGCUCAGCCUCCCUCCUUGGCACAGAGCUGGCCUGCGAGACCCCCGGUAAAUGACUGUUAGUGGACGAAUUCAUGAACGAACGUAAAACCCCAUCUCUAAGGCAGCCCCGAUUCUCCCCCGCGGCCAGCAUCCAUCUGCGAGGAAUCGGGCGUGUAUGUCUGAGCAGGGACCCCGGCUGGGAGCUGGGAGGGACUUUCUGGCCAGUGUGCAGGACCAGGGAGCAUGCGUCUGGCAGGGCCUCUCAACCACGGCUGGUGGCGGGGGCAGGGACUGGCCAGAAUCAUGGUGUAAAAUUUAAAACACAACCUUGACCCCAAGGAGUAAAGGAGGGGCUGAGACAGCGGGACCCUCCCAUUGGGGCAGACGGCCCAGGGCCACUCCCAUAGAGGGAUCGAUCCGCGUCUAGGGAGUCCCAUGGGGUCGUCCCCACCCCACCCCAAUACAUCUGGGACCACCCAGGGAGCCAAGGAUGGCUUCUACAAUCCAGAAAUUCCUCAGUUCCCAGACCACUGGGGACCAUCGCCGUCUGCCUCUCCCUCCUCCCAGAGCGAGGACCUCUAUGCUGGCCUCACGGGGCCUUUCCUCGUUGGCAUCUGCUGGGGUGGCCCCUGGUUUUCCAGCCAUGGGGCUUCCAGGGUCUCAGAGGCUCCGCACAGAAACCCCAGCCCAAUUUCCCAGACCGUGCAGUGGUCUUCUCGAGACCCUUGAGCGGGGAGGACACCAUGAGUUUUGGGCUUUGCAGAGCCAUGUUUGAAAAGCCACCACUUAGAGCUAAGCGACCUUGGAGAAGUCAGACUCCCAGGACUGAGGUGUCCUGUCUAUUCAGAGGAGGAGAUGACACCUGCUCCCCUCACCCCCACGCUGACACACCCACCGCAGGGAAGGGAGACAGGCUGGCAGCACCUGACACAGAGCUCCCCUGUCCCGGCCCCCAGAGCCCCCACCCCACCUGCUCUGUGGCCUGCUGAGCCCACCUUCUCAGCCCCCAACUAGGACCUGGGGCCUGACAAAGGAUUUCUGGGCUCCUGCUUAGAGGUACAAGUGAAGCCAGACUGAGAGCCCCUGACAAACACAUGAACCAAUGCCACCCUGACCCCAGGGGCUGGCCCCCCGGCCUCCCCUGUCCCCGAGCCGUGAUCCUGACACGCGAUCCUGGACACAGCGACGCCAGGGCGCAGCACAGCGUCAGGGCAACAGCAGCCCCUGAAGAGAACCCAGCCCAGCGCCACCGACCCCAGGAGCAAAGUAAUGCCUGGAAGAAUGGCACUGAACACUCAACAGACCCUCCAGGCUCUCAGUUCCACGGAAUCAUGCCAGCUUCCUUGUGAUUUUAUCGGAAAGGUGGGCAGUUUGGCUCCACCGCGACCCACAGGGCAACAUCUUCUGGGUAUCGAUUCUGCUGCAGUGAAAAGGAAGCCCUUCC